GUAAAGUGAAAGUGAAUUACAUUUGUUUUAGAAAUGGAUCUCCACCAUCUCCACCUCGUGUUCUGUGUAUUCGGAGCGCAGGAUGGGGAGGAAAGAGGAAGACAGGCGAACAGUACUGUGAGAGGCUCCGUCUGUAUGACAAGGUUUGGGUUUAAAUGGGCGCUUGGUUGUUCUUUGUUUUGGACCAAAUACAGAAAUAUGUAGAAGAGGAGCUGUGCUGUGUCUCGUUCUCACUAGUGUGAAGGGUUUUCAGGAGAGAGCACAGCAGCAGCAGCACGUCUGAAGCAGUAAGAAGAGUGCACGUCUGGUCAAGAGCACGCAUGAUCUGGACCAGGCAUGUGGCAUAAUUUGUAUUCAACCAAGAAUUUUUUUUUCUCCUUUAGUUUGUGGACAACAUUUCAUCUCGAGAAGAUAUAGACUCUGCCGAGUACUAUCUUUACAAGAUACAGUGACCGGGGUCCCACUUGCCACAGCAGCCUUCCUCGUGCAGUGAUUUCUCGGAUGUCUUACCUCAGUAUGCUCCCAGUGAUAUGCCGGGCUCUCAUCGAUUCUCACAGACGUGAUAGUUAAGAAGUCCCUUUGUCAGGCAUGGACUUG
Molecule: long non-coding RNA, 597 nt
Filed under: Rattus norvegicus (Norway rat)
Lineage: Eukaryota; Metazoa; Chordata; Mammalia; Rodentia; Muridae
Description: long non-coding RNA NONRATT014959
Source: RNAcentral